Molecule: ribosomal RNA, 492 nt
Filed under: uncultured bacterium
Lineage: Bacteria
Description: partial 16S ribosomal RNA
Rfam family: Bacterial small subunit ribosomal RNA
Source: RNAcentral
AGUGAACGCUGGCGGUAGGCCUAACACAUGCAAGUCGAACGGCAGCACAGUAAGAGCUUGCUCUUACGGGUGGCGAGUGGCGGACGGGUGAGGAAUACAUCGGAAUCUACUUUUUCGUGGGGGAUAACGUAGGGAAACUUACGCUAAUACCGCAUACGACCUACGGGUGAAAGCAGUGGAUCUUCGGACCUUGCUCGAUUGAAUGAGCCGAUGUCGGAUUAGCUAGUUGGCGGGGUAAAGGCCCACCAAGGCGACGAUCCGUAGCUGGUCUGAGAGGAUGAUCAGCCACACUGGAACUGAGACACGGUCCAGACUCCUACGGGAGGCAGCAGUGGGGAAUAUUGGACAAUGGGCGCAAGCCUGAUCCAGCCAUACCGCGUGGGUGAAGAAGGCCUUCGGGUUGUAAAGCCCUUUUGUUGGGAAAGAAAAGCAGCAGGUUAAUACCCCGCUGUUCUGACGGUACCCAAAGAAUAAGCACCGGCUAACUUCGUG